RNAcentral lists this transfer RNA (64 nucleotides) under Macrosiphum albifrons (lupin aphid). RNAcentral's name for it is "tRNA-Ala". The record is from RNAcentral. Lineage: Eukaryota; Metazoa; Arthropoda; Insecta; Hemiptera; Aphididae.
AGGAUAAUAGUUAAAAUCUAUAACAUUUAAUUUGCUUUUAAAAAUUAUUAUAUAAUUUAUCUUA